AAGCAAAAAAACUAUGUAAAAAAAAAAUCUCUCCGGAACAUACACUGGUGAAGACCCCAUUUGCUGCAUCUCCGGAGUCCAGUACAGCCAGAUUUUCCCCUGGGGAUGGACAAGACAGACACUACAUUGUCCAGAGAGCCCCAACUCACUAGAGGCCCUGGCCUUAGGGCCCAUGCUGUAUGAAAGCUCCUCGUCUUCAGCCACGAGGGGCACGAGCACUGAGGGGACACAUGGGAGACGCAGCUGGCAGGCAGCGCGUCACAGCUGCUGCGUGUGGUCUCCUCUGGAGCCUACAGAUCCCAGCUCUGCAGCUCUAGCUGGGUGAUCAAGGGCAAGGUCCUUCCUUAGUCUCUCUAAGCCUCUUUCUCCCGUUCUGUAAAAUGGGAGUAAGAACAACAUUUACCUCACUGAGUCCAGGAGAAUGCAGUGGGCUAGAACAAGUAAGGCACUUGCAACGGAUUGGCCCAUCCUGAGCUUGCAAUAAAUGGACCCAGGCUAUGUUAGUCAGCAUCAAUGCCACUCAGUGCUAAAGUUCCUGCUGGAACUCUUGUGAGAUGCACUUCUUUCCACCGGAGUUGCUGAGAGCACUGGAUCUAAGCCUGGGGCUGCUGACCACCGUCUUUCUUAGAGACCAUCUGCCUAGAAAAGGAGACAACACAGGGAGAAGCCCUGCUGGAGCACCCGGACACAGCCUUGCCUGAAGCCAUCGACUCUGCACUUUUAUGUUACGUGAGCCGAUAUUUCUUUUUCUGUUAAGCUGGUUUGAUUAGGUUUUCUGUCACUUGCAACCUAGAAAGUCCUGCUGAUCCUGAGGCAGAACACACAGAAUGGCUUUUGGAGUUGCUUCGGUGCCACACCUCCGUCAUUUGCCCUGGGAGUUCUGUAGCCGGCUGCCAGUGGACACUCCUGCCCAACAGGCUCGGGCUCCUCCGGGAGCCUUGGGGCAAAUCAUCAAGGCCACCCAACCUCACUCCUUCACACCUGAAACCCUUUCUUCCCCUGAUCCUCCUGUCCCCUCAUUUCUCCUCCCUCUUCCCCUUCUCAGAGACUGUCUUCUUUCCUGCUUUCCUAAGAGGAUGAAUUAAGGACCAAUUAAGGCUGAGUGUGGAAUUUGGAAUCAUCCACCCCAGACAGCAGAGAUCAAGCAUCAGCCCCAAGGCAUGUGGGAGCUUAGGUCCCUGACCAGGGAUCAAACCCGCACCUCCUGCAUUGGAAGUCUUAACCACUGGACCGCAGGGAAUUCCCACACAUAGGUCACCUGAGUCAUGGAACAAGUCUCCACUCAUCUAUUUAUCCACCACUGUUGCAACAUCAGCUUCUCUCAAUAACUAGAGCUUUGUAACAAGCCUUAUGUCUGCCACUGUCACUCUAUCUUCUGCAUGUGUGCCCAGCCCCCGUCCCCGCACGCGAUGGACACUGAGUUGCUGUGCCUGGAUGUUGUGAACCUGCUCCCUGCUCAUAAGCAGCUGGGCCCAGCAGGACGUCUCAGAUCAAGAGGCUGGCUCUGCCCACCAACUGGCUGUGUGACCCUCGGCAAGUGUCUCAACCUCUCUGAGCUUCAGUUUCUUGUAUGGAAACUGGCAGUCAUAAUAGACCUACAUCCCCCAUAGGACUGAAAUGAGGAUCGCAUGAGUUAAUGCAUGAACAGUGCCAGGCACAUGGUAAGCACCUUAGACACUAACAAUUUGUGUUACUACUAAUCCACUUAAAUAAAAUGUAUUUGAGAACCUUUUGUAUACCA
Molecule: long non-coding RNA, 1741 nt
Organism: Orcinus orca (killer whale)
Lineage: Eukaryota; Metazoa; Chordata; Mammalia; Artiodactyla; Delphinidae
Exons: 4
Source: RefSeq, a predicted model, not a curated record